Molecule: ribosomal RNA, 87 nt
Filed under: uncultured eukaryote
Lineage: Eukaryota
Description: partial small subunit ribosomal RNA
Source: RNAcentral
UCGCUCCUACCGAUCGAGUGACACGGUGAACCUUUUGGACUGUAACAGUCCUCGGAUUGUUAUAGGAAGACAAGUAAACCUUAUCAC